Molecule: ribosomal RNA, 465 nt
Filed under: uncultured bacterium
Lineage: Bacteria
Description: partial 16S ribosomal RNA
Rfam family: Bacterial small subunit ribosomal RNA
Source: RNAcentral
CCUACGGGGUGCAGCAGUGGGGAAUAUUGCGCAAUGGGCGAAAGCCUGACGCAGCGACGCCGCGUGAGGGAUGAAGGUCUUCGGAUCGUAAACCUCUGUCAGCAGGGCAGAACGGUCACUGUGCUAAUCAGCAGUGCAUUGACGGUACCUGCAAAGGAAGCACCGGCGAACUACGUGCCAGCAGCCGCGGUAAUACGGAGGGUGCGAGCGUUAAUCGGAAUUACUGGGCGUAAAGCGCUCGUAGGCGGUAUGUCCAGUCAAGGGUGAAAUCCCCGCGCUCAACGUGGGAACUGCCUUUGAUAGUGGAAAACUGGAGUGUGUGAGAGGAUAGUGGAAUGCCAGGUGUAGGAGUGAAAGCCGUAGAGAUCUGGAGGAACAUCAGUGGCGAAGGCGACUAUCUGGCACAUAACUGACGCUGAGGAGCGAAAGCGUGGGUAGCAAACAGGAUUAGAUACCCGAGUAGUC